CCCGUCAACUCAUGAAAGGCAGGAGCACCUGAAGGACCUUUACCCGCAAGGGGGGGUACCACGGUGAUACUGCUGAUUGGGAGUAAGUCGUAACAAGGUAUCCGUAGGAGAACCUGCGGAUGGAACACUUCCUUACCAGGGA
This 142-nucleotide ribosomal RNA is filed under the name Candidatus Peribacter riflensis. RNAcentral describes it as "partial 16S ribosomal RNA". It matches the Rfam family "Bacterial small subunit ribosomal RNA", at positions 1393 to 1533 of the family's 1533-position model. Lineage: Bacteria; Candidatus Peregrinibacteriota; Candidatus Peribacteria; Candidatus Peribacterales. The record is from RNAcentral.